Molecule: ribosomal RNA, 52 nt
Filed under: Cladosporium breviramosum
Lineage: Eukaryota; Fungi; Ascomycota; Dothideomycetes; Cladosporiales; Cladosporiaceae
Description: partial 18S ribosomal RNA
Source: RNAcentral
GAGUGGCAACACUCAUCCAGGGCCGGAAAGUCAGUCAAACUUGGUCAUUUAG